RNAcentral lists this unclassified non-coding RNA (239 nucleotides) under uncultured fungus. Its description in RNAcentral is "partial contains 5.8S ribosomal RNA, internal transcribed spacer 2, and large subunit ribosomal RNA". The stretch from base 1 to 52 matches the Rfam family "5.8S ribosomal RNA", at positions 103 to 154 of the family's 154-position model. Lineage: Eukaryota; Fungi. The record is from RNAcentral.
AACGCACAUUGCGCCCUCUGGUAUUCCGGGGGGCAUGCCUGUUCGAGCGUCAUUACACCACUCAAGCCUGGCUUGGUAUUGGGCCCCGGGGGUGACCCGGACCCGAAUGUUCGCCGGCUGGACGACCUAGAUCUCAGCGUUGUGGCAAACAAAUUCGCUGGCGAGACGGGACGGCCACGCCGUUAAAACCAUCAUUCAAGGUUGACCUCGGAUCAGGUAGGGAUACCCGCUGAACUUAA